This 497-nucleotide ribosomal RNA is filed under the name uncultured bacterium. RNAcentral's name for it is "partial 16S ribosomal RNA". It matches the Rfam family "Bacterial small subunit ribosomal RNA", at positions 28 to 507 of the family's 1533-position model. The record is from RNAcentral.
GAUGAACGCUGGCGGCGUGCCUAAUACAUGCAAGUCGAGCGAACAGAUGAGGAGCUUGCUCCUCUGACGUUAGCGGCGGACGGGUGAGUAACACGUGGAUAACCUACCUAUAAGACUGGGAUAACUUCGGGAAACCGGAGCUAAUACCGGAUAAUAUAUUGAACCGCAUGGUUCAAUAGUGAAAGACGGUUUUGCUGUCACUUAUCGGUGGAUCCGCGCCGCAUUAGCUAGUUGGUAAGGUAACGGCUUACCAAGGCAACGAUGCGUAGCCGACCUGAGAGGGUGAUCGGCCACACUGGAACUGAGACACGGUCCAGACUCCUACGGGAGGCAGCAGUAGGGAAUCUUCCGCAAUGGGCGAAAGCCUGACGGAGCAACGCCGCGUGAGUGAUGAAGGUCUUCGGAUCGUAAAACUCUGUUAUUAGGGAAGAACAAAUGUGUAAGUAACUAUGCACGUCUUGACGGUACCUAAUCAGAAAGCCACGGCUAACUACGUG